UGNAGGAAUAUUGCGCAAUGGGGGAAACCCUGACGCAGCAACGCCGCGUGAGUGAGGAAGGUUUUCGGACCGUAAAGCUCUGUCGAGCGGGAAGAAGUGCAUGGUGGCUAAUAUCCAUUAUGCUUGACGGUACCGCUAAAGGAAGCACCGGCUAACUCCGUGCCAGCGGCCGCGGUAAUACGGGGGGUGCUAGCGUUGUUCGGAAUCAUUGGGCGUAAAGAGCGUGUAGGCGGCUGGAUAAGUCAGAUGUGAAAGCCCUGGGCUUAACCUGGAAGUGCAUUUGAAACUGUUCAGCUUGAGUAAGGGAGAGGAAAUGGAAUUCCUGGUGUAGAGGUGAAAUUCGUAGAUAUCAGGAGGAACACCGGUGGCGAAGGCGACUUUCUGGCCCUAUACGUGACG
Molecule: ribosomal RNA, 399 nt
Filed under: uncultured bacterium
Lineage: Bacteria
Description: bacterial SSU rRNA
Rfam family: Bacterial small subunit ribosomal RNA
Source: RNAcentral